GAAGAGACAAGUCCGCAGUAGGAGCAGGGUCAGGUGCAGGACGUGAAUCAGCAGGGCCUGAUGCUGGGUGCGGACGACGAUGAUAUGUCAAAAGUGGUGUUCCUGUGACAGGGAGUCUAGGAGGAUCCAUACUAGAUUCCUCAACUGAGUGAAUGGGUAAGACUUCAGUAGUGGAAGGUAAAGGACAAUCUAUAGUAGGCUCCGUAAAGGUCGGUAUAGGUAACAUCGUAGAUAUAUCAGGGAGGUCAGAAUGGUUAGAAGGGGUAAAGAAAGGUAAGAAUCUAUAGUAGGCUCCGUAAAGGUCGGUACAGGUAAGAUAGCAGAUAUAUUUGGGAGGUCAGAAUGGUCAGAAGGGGUAAAGAAAGGUUUAGACUCAAAAAAUG
RNAcentral lists this long non-coding RNA (383 nucleotides) under Nicotiana benthamiana. RNAcentral's name for it is "long non-coding RNA (NBEN_LNC012631)". Lineage: Eukaryota; Viridiplantae; Streptophyta; Magnoliopsida; Solanales; Solanaceae. The record is from RNAcentral.